UCAAACAAGAGGUAGGUUUCUAUCAAAAAAUAAAUAUUCAUUCAGUGGAGAGAGAGAGAGAGAGAGAGAGAGUAUAUCCAUAUCACCGAAAUAUCCACUCAGGCACUCAAUCUCAGCCUCACUAUGGGGAGGAAGAAAUGAGGGACACCAUGAGUGACUGGCUAAUACCGUACCGUAUAGCUGGUACCAUUAGUACUGGUACUGGUACCGGUACCUGCGCACCCCUAUUGCUGAGUAGCGUGGCAGCGUGGGUACUGUAUUGUUGUUCAAGUGGCACGCGGAAAGAACUGAGCUCAGCUGUGUGGUUGCGGUGCCGUGUGAGUCCAGUUGCGUGAGACAUCUAGUGGCUACUCCAUAAAAUAUCGCGUAUAAGUGAAAAAACGUGUAAAUUAAACAUUUAUUUGGAUUUUGGACCCCGCGUUAUUUCAAAAACGCGUAAACCAAACUCACAUAAAUCGAGAGUUACCUGUACCGGAGUUGUAUGGAAAGAAUCAUCCAUUAGUAAACGAUUUGCAUAGUAUGAUAUGCUUAAGCACAUGAAGUUAAAAAAGAAAAUGGCAGAGACUUUGUGAUGGGGUGAGCUGUGUGUGUCUGCACGAUCUGGUGAUGGAGACAGGAUUGGCGGCCAUGGGUGCAGGCAACUCCCUGAUGAUGCAGGGCCAUCAUAGUUAAGGUAAUGAGGGGAAGAGCAUCUUACCCAAGCUUCUGCGGAUGUGCCAAACAGUCCUCAUCACCCCAGGACGCAGCAUCCACCCUCACCUCCUGUGCCUCAAAGUCUGUCACCAUCCCCUUCCUGCUGCACAGUCUUUACCAUAUCGGAAGACUUCUUGCAGGACCUUUUUGUCAAAGUCAUCUCCCUAUAUAUUUUCUCACAUUUCUUUGUAACAUUUCUGCUUGUUGUUUAAGGAUUGCUCCCUCCUAAAUGGUGGGAGCGUGGGCCUUUGCCAAUUUAUGGCGGCCCGUAACAGGGUGCUGAGACUGACUCUAUCGGCUGAUGUCAGCUAAGCCCACCAAGUCGGUCUGCCGACGAGGACUGGCAUACCUCUGCUUUUCCAUUUGUAGGUAGGAAUUUAGUUGGUGUUUGUAGCCAUACAAAAAUAAUUAGAUGGAUGGAUAUAAGAAAAGUACAAUGUAGCCAUAUAAGAGUUUGUUUAGAAAGCAGUGUGUUGGUGAGUUUGGUAGAAGCAAGUUAAUUGGGAGAAUCAUGAUGGUAGAAGUGUAAGCACAGAGGUUAAGAAAAGAUUCAGCAAUUUACUUGAGCCCUUUAGAAUCUUUAGGCCACAAGGACUUAUGUUAAGUGAGAAAAACUUGUUGAAAUUAAGCUUCUCUAUAUCUUCGUUAGUUGUGUGAUCAUUCAUAAUGCCUCUGUGGGAUGGAGGACCUCACAGAAAUUGUUACUGGCAGACUCAAACUGUAAUGCAUGGGUUACCAGUUUACCUUCUGGUUUCCCUAGCUAUUCAUUUAUCGACCAUUCUGAAAAGGAGGAAGAAUGGCUGGGUGGGCUGCAUGUCAACUGCCUAGGCUGGGAUUCAAACCCAAGCCCACAGGUUUGUAGUUACUCUAUUUGAAAUUAGGUUUAUCUCUUCAUCCUAUGAGUUAGUUAUGGAAUAAUUCCCAAUUCCUCUGAUCUGAGGGUAGAUGUAAUCAAAAUACAUAGUAUUUCCUUUUGUUUUAUAUAAACUGUACAUUUCAGGAUGCAGUGAUGGAUGGCCGUGAAGACAAGGAACACAGGGGGUGAUGCCAACACAUGAUGCCACCAAUCCCAGGGCCAUGGAUGAGGUGCUGGUGUCAUUAUAUUCCAGGUGUGUAUGGUGGUCGUCUUCAGGUAUUAGGUAGAGAAUGUGUUGUGGCAUAGGUUAUAGUUUUUUAUUCCUAAUAUCUCGGUAAGCCACACUCUCCUCAGUGUUAGCAAAUAUCUGGCUCAGCUGUAUCUUACCAAAUGGUAAGAGCUGAUUAGAUCUUUUAAUAUCUGUGCAAUUCUAAUACUUGUUAGUCUGCAUUUAUUUUACAUGUCUACUCAUGACUUUUUUUUUAUAUGGAAACUGAUUUCCAUUUUUUUAUAUGGAAACUGAUUUCCAAAAGGUAAAGAAAAGCUGUGUGAUAAUUAGAGCAAGAGGAAGGAGAAUAGUUGAAAACUGUAUACCAAGUUUCAUUAUAACUGAAUUUAACACAACUAUCAAAUCAAGUCAAGAGUUAAGUAAGGAUUCUCAGACAAAGCUACCUUCAUUACUGUGUUCUCAAAUUUUAUGCAAAGUAUAGCAAAGCUGAGGUAAAGAUUUCAUAUGAAGAGAUUUGAGGUCAUGGACUUGAAUAUUCGUUUGUGUGAUGUGUCCUACUGUGUCUGUGUACUGCUGUCGCCCUCCCUCCCAUCAAGUGGAGGGGGGGGCUUAGGACCUAAAUUGCGCCCUUUCUAAGAUUCACUGAGAUCUGGGGGGGUAUCAUUCCUAGGCGCCAUACCAUACCAUACCAUAUAUAUAUAUAUAUAUAUAUAUAUAUAUAUAUAUAUAUAUAUAUAUAUAUAUAUAUAUAUAUAUAUAUAUAUAUAUAUAUAUAUAUAUAUUAGGCCAUUAUAUGGUCAGUUUUUAUUUAUACACAUAUUUCAUGGAGAACAUUGUAAUAACCUUUCUUGCAUCAAUGUGGUACAAACAACAAAGAUAUGUUGAUUUCAGCAAGAGAACUAAAUAUUUCACCAUGAAAGUGUUUUUACUUAAGGAUAUUUCUUGAGCAGUCUGCCAUAGUUACUGCAAAGUCACAUUGUCUAUUUGAUGAGGAAAAACUUGACACCUUGUAUUUGGGGUCGCUGUUUUGAGAUUGUAGCUCAGGAUUUAAGACUGUAUGCCUUUUCAGGGGUCAUGCGGCAGCACUGGGGUUCAAACUGCCUGGCUCUGGCUCUUCACUUCCUGGGUUUUACACACUAACCCACUAGACCACCUCAGCCAGCAAAUCUAGUGAUUUAUUCAUAUAAUUUGACGCAAUCAACUUAUCUGCUCUGUUUCCACCACCUUCAUCCUAAUUGGGUUAGUUUAGUUAUAACUCAUCCCAAUAAAACAUUCAUAUGAAUGUCAAGUAACCACAGAAUCACCUAGUAAGCUACGGAAAUGUUUUACAUUUUUCCUAUUGGUCAUCUAUUACAUUCGUCUGUCAUCAGGCUAUUACACUAGGAACCUAAAAGUAUUAGCUACCUCAGCUCUGCCAUACACUGUAACCAUUGAACAUUGCAAGAGGGAGAGGUUGAUGGUGACUGAUGGGAGGCAGGGGAGACAACGGUACACAGACAAGAGAAGAGAUGGUAGGGCAUUUUGAUACCUAUUAGCACCAUAAUUUUAAAUUUUUUAACUUCAAGGGGCAGAUGGGUGAUAGCUAUUAUUACAUGUCAAUUUGUAAAGGGAAUUUGACAUUGAUUGACAUAGCAAUGUAAAAUAAUAUGAAAGACAUGUCCAAUAACAUGAUUUGUUUAUAUUUGGGCAUAAUGAAGCUAUGGCAGUCAAUGUCAAAUUCUCUGCACAUUGGCAUUGAAAAAUAGCUAUCACCCCUCUGCCCCUUGAAAUUGAGAAAAUUAAAAUUGUGAAGUUAAUAAGCAUCAAAAUACCCAGCUACAAAUAGGCCCGUUGACUAUGUAGUGUCUCAGAUUCCAGAGAUAACUGUUGCAUUAUAUGUUGUCAGAUAAGGGUACAUGGCUUACUGAAAUAUUAAAAAUGAGUAGACUAUACAUAUCCUAAAACCAGCAUGAUUACAAGCAUACGUUGAUUAACUGUAGAUGUGACUCCUUAAACAAGUUCACAGAACUCGUCCAACUGGUGUCUUGUUUCAGAAGGAAGAAUGGAGACAAGGAAGCUGCUGCCCUAUCUGCAGGAGCCCUGGUGUGGUGUGGUGAGCUGUCCCCCCUUAUCUGCGCAUGUGCAAGUUUUGUUUACAAACAUAAUUCCUUCACUGCAAUAAGUCAUUUGAUAGCUUAUAAUGAGCUUACCUAUUAUCUUAUGAUUUUCCUUGUCUCCCGAGAGUUCAAGGGUGAAAUGGGCUCUAGAUGUUGCCCAUUAAUUGGCAUGUAUCCAUUGAACCUGAUGGAGAAUCGGAAGGGAACUCUCAGGAGACGGCAGGAAAAUCAUAUAAAACAGGCAAGCCUAUUAUAACCAUUAAAGAACUUAAUGCAGUGAGAGAAAUGUUUAUAAAUAAGACCAAGACAGCUCACACAUGUGCAGAUCAGGGGGAACAGUUCAAGAUAGGCAGACAGCUCAUUACACCACACCAGAGCCUGGGGACUUCCUGGGCCCAUACUUCUAAAGCUAACACCUCGCGGUGCGAGUAGCUAAAGUUGGUCCCGGGCAGGCAUAAAUCCUGGGUCUCGUCUGAUGUUUGACAUUCAAAUGUAAACAUUGCCGGGUAUUGCUAGUCAGCCAGCGUGCCUCAUCAAAAUCAUUUUACAUUCAAAUGCUCACUAUAGCCUUACAAAACCCUAUUAUAACAGAUAUGAUGUACUUCUAUUCAAUACUUUCACCAUUUUAAGGUAUUCUUACCCAUUAAUUUUCAUAUGAGAUAACUGAUCUCACCAUUGUUGGCAACUUUACGUUCCCCAUUACCCGUGGCGGCUGGAGCCCUAGCUAUGGUGCACACUCGCCUCUGAGACAAGACAUAAGUCAAACGGCUUAUGUCUUUAUAAGUAUGGGCCCUGGGGCAUAAUUGCAGGGGUGCAAUGCAAAUGCUUAUGAAUUCAUGGCAUACAUUCACUAGAUAAAUAAAGAUCCUGCUCUACUCC
This is a long non-coding RNA of Eriocheir sinensis (Chinese mitten crab), 4753 nucleotides long. RefSeq lists it as uncharacterized. The transcript has 3 exons. NCBI's taxonomy places the organism in Eukaryota, Metazoa, Arthropoda, Malacostraca, Decapoda, Varunidae. The record is from RefSeq and is a predicted model, not a curated record.